CACUUGGCGCGGGCGCGCUCGGACCGCUGCUUGUUCAUGGCGGUCAGCAUCUGGCUGAUGUACGACGUCAGCAGGUCGUCCAUCUUGUAGCCCUUUGAGAGGAGCACAGACCAGGAAUGUCGUCAGGGAAGUAAACCUUGUGGAAGAUCUGCGUGGUCUUGUGCUGGAUGGCCUCCACUUCCACCAGAUGAGGCGGGUACUUCCUGGACCCGUUUCUGUCGCCGGGGAAAUGACAUUUUUGUCUUUUUCAUUUUCACGAAAUGUGAUUUUUGAAGCUGAUCCACAACCGAGGAGGUCCAAUCGUCCUGGCUCAAACGUGGCCUCUCCCGCCCCCCCCAACUGGCGGCUGGCGCUCACCGUACGGCUUUGUGCAGCCUGUGCAUG
Long non-coding RNA from Syngnathoides biaculeatus (alligator pipefish), 384 nucleotides. RefSeq lists it as uncharacterized. The transcript has 3 exons. NCBI's taxonomy places the organism in Eukaryota, Metazoa, Chordata, Actinopteri, Syngnathiformes, Syngnathidae. The record is from RefSeq and is a predicted model, not a curated record.